CUGAUCUCCCCCAAGAGUCCACAUCGACGGGGAGGUUUGGCACCUCGAUGUCGGCUCGUCGCAACCUGGGGCGGUAGUACGUCCCAAGGGUUGGGCUGUUCGCCCAUUAAAGCGGUACGCGAGCUGGGUUCAGAACGUCGUGAGACAGUUCGGUCCAUAUCCGGUAUGAUCGGAAGAGAAUUGAGAGGAGUCGUCUUUAGUACGAGAGGACCGAGACGAACCAACCUCCGGUGUAUGAGUGGUCACGCCAGUGGCCAAUGCUCAGUAGCUGCGUUGGGAGCGGAUAAGCGCUGAAAGCAUAUAAGUGCGAAGCCCACCUCAAGAUGAGUUCUCUCACUGGGUUAACCAGGUAAGAGUCCGCGUAGAUAAUGCGGUAGAUAGGCUACAGAUGUAAGGUUAGAGAUAGCUUUAGUCGAGUAGUACUAAUAACUCGAGGGUUUAACCUA
This 446-nucleotide ribosomal RNA is filed under the name Flavobacterium sp. RNAcentral's name for it is "partial 23S ribosomal RNA". It matches the Rfam family "Bacterial large subunit ribosomal RNA", at positions 2482 to 2925 of the family's 2925-position model. Lineage: Bacteria; Pseudomonadati; Bacteroidota; Flavobacteriia; Flavobacteriales; Flavobacteriaceae. The record is from RNAcentral.